GUCUGAGUAGGUGGGACGACACAGCUUCUGGAUGUUGAGUCUCAUUAUGGUCUGAGUAGGUGGGACAACACAGCUUCUGGAUGUUGAGUCUCAUUAUGGUCUGAGUAGGUGGGACGACACAGCUUCUGGAUGUUGAGUCUCAUUAUGGUCUGAGUAGGUGUGGACGACACAGCUUCUGGAUGUUGAGACUCAUUAUGGUCUGAGUAGGUGGGACAACACAGCUUCUGGAUGUUGAGUCUCAUUAUGGUCUGAGUAGGUGUGGACGACACAGCUUCUGGAUGCUGAGUCUCAUUAUGUUCUGAGUAGGUGGGACAACACAGCUUCUGGAUGUUGAGUCUCAUUAUGGUCUGAGUAGGUGGGACAACACAGCUUCUGGAUGUUGAGUCUCAUUAUGGUCUGAGUAGGUGUGGACGACACAGCUUCUGGAUGUUGAGUCUCAUUAUGGUCUGAGUAGGUGUGGACAACACAGCUUCUGGAUGUUGAGUCUCAUUAUGGUCUGAGUAGGUGUGGACGACACAGCUUCUGGAUGUUGAGUCUCAUUAUGGUCUGAGUAGGUGGGACAACACAGCUUCUGGAUGUUGAGUCUCAUUAUGGUCUGAGUAGGUAGGACAACACAGCUUCUGGAUGUUGAGUCUCAUUAUGGUCUGAGUAGGUGGGACGACACAGCUUCUGGAUGUUGAGUCUCAUUAUGUUCUGAGUAGGUAGGACAACACAGCUUCUGGAUGUUGAGUCUCAUCAUGUUAUGAGUAGGUGUGGACAACACAGCUUCUGGAUGUUGAGUCUCAUUAUGUUCUGAGUAGGUGGGACGACACAGUUUUAUUCUAACAGACAAACAGGCAGGAACAUUAAAUAUAUGUUUAUGUUUGUAAAGUAAUGUUAUGCUAAUAUAGAGACUCGCCCAGCCUCUUUUUGUCACCUGAU
This 921-nucleotide long non-coding RNA is filed under the name Salmo salar (Atlantic salmon). Its description in RNAcentral is "lncRNA (ENSSSAG00000113823.1)". The record is from RNAcentral. Lineage: Eukaryota; Metazoa; Chordata; Actinopteri; Salmoniformes; Salmonidae.